Molecule: long non-coding RNA, 204 nt
Filed under: Elaeis guineensis (African oil palm)
Lineage: Eukaryota; Viridiplantae; Streptophyta; Magnoliopsida; Arecales; Arecaceae
Description: long non-coding RNA (EGUI_LNC064675)
Source: RNAcentral
CACCGUAGAAACUUGGAUGGAGUCUGAUUACUGUAGAAAUCUUAUUGUUAGAGAAGCUCGGAUAUUGACGAAGUUCGAAAGAAGUUCAGAGAAUAGUUGAUCACUGUAGAAGGUCGGCUAAUAGUGAGGCCUAGAGAGCCUUUGGAGUGGCCCGGUAGAUGGAUGGAGAAGCUCAUUGUCAAAAAAGUUCGGACGGUAUUAUGG